RNAcentral lists this long non-coding RNA (1200 nucleotides) under Cyanistes caeruleus (blue tit). RNAcentral describes it as "lncRNA (ENSCCEG00000001607.1)". Lineage: Eukaryota; Metazoa; Chordata; Aves; Passeriformes; Paridae. The record is from RNAcentral.
CCUGGGUCACACCUGGGUCACACACCUGGGUCACACAACCAUGUCCCACACCUGUGUCACACCUGGGUCACACACCUGGGUCACACACCCGUGUCACACCUGGGUCACACCUGGGUCACACCUGGGUCACACACCUGGGUCACACCCAUGUCACACACCUGUGUCACACCUGGGUCACACACCUGGGUCACACACCCGUGUCACACAACCAUGUCACACACCUGUGUCACACCUGGGUCACACACCUGGGUCACACACCCAUGUCACACACCCAUGUCCCACACCUGUGUCACACCUGGGUCACACACCUGGGUCACACCCAUGUCACACACCCGUGUCACACCUGGGUCACACCUGGGUCACACACCUGUGUCACACACCCAUGUCACACACCCAUGUCACACCCAUGUCACAGACCCGUGUCACACCCGUGUCACACACCUGUGUCACACCUGCAGGGGCCCAGCGGGGUGUUUGCACACACGUGUGCACAAGGUGAACCCCUGGGCAGGUGUCACACAGCUGCACACGUGUGUGCCAGUGUCCCACGGCUGUGACACCUGUGGCAGGCCCUGCCAGCUCCCCAGCCCUGCUGCCCGCGGGGGUCUGUGUGUGUGUGCCCCCCCAGAAAUCCCUCUCCCCCUGGUGCUGUCAGGGGCUGUCCCAGCCCCUCGCCCCUUCCUGGCCCCCCGUGUCCCCUGUGCCCUCCCCUGUAGGUCCCUGUAGGUGUUUGGGGGCCGGCGGGCGCCUGGCGGGGGUCCCGUGUCCCCCCGGGUGGUCCCCACGGCCAGUUUAGGAACAUGCCGUCCGUUGUUUGCUCAUUAAAGACCGUUCACAGCGCCUGGCCUGCGCCUCAUUGGGGUCUGGGGGUCCCGGGGCUCUGGGACGGGCCUUGGGGACAGCGCUCAGGACCCCAGGGUCACAGCACCCGGGGGCAAACAGGACCCAGGAGAGCGCUGGGAGGUGAAAGAGCCGUGACAUGGGGACACAGGGGGGACAUGAGGGGACACAGGGACACACAGGAGAUACGUGGGGACACGGGCAGACAUUCAUGGGGACACAGGGAGGACAUGUGUGGGGACACGGUAAGACAAGGGGGGGUGACAAAGCUGGCCCUGUCGCCAGGUGGACACCUCUGCUCAGAUGCACAAACACAGGUGGGUGCGGGGGGGUCUCGAGCAGGCUCGGGGGUCUCUCAGG